Bos taurus (domestic cattle) is the source of this 631-nucleotide long non-coding RNA. Lineage: Eukaryota; Metazoa; Chordata; Mammalia; Artiodactyla; Bovidae. The record is from Ensembl.
CUUCAAGACAGAGCUCCAGAUCAUUCCUUGCAUUAAGUUUGCACAUCCCUUUUGUCUUCUUUAAUCAGAAACAUUUCCUCAGCCAUUUGAAACAGUACAGUGUUUUCUGCCACAGUGAGAAUCUAGAGAGAGAACUUCCCGAGGCUGAAUUUUAUUUGAAGGUGAAAGCUGCUGCUGCUGCUAAGUUGCUUCAGUCGUGUCCAACUCUGUGCAACACCAUAGACAGCAGCCUAUCAGGCUCCUCUGUCCAUGGGAUUUUCCAGGCAAGAGUACUGGAAUGGGGUGCCAUUGCCUUCUCCAAGGUGAAAGCUAAGGGUGAUUAAUUGUAGUUCUUCUUUCUUGAUUCGUGCAUUUAGUAUUAUAAAAUUUCCCUGUAAGAACUGAGUUAGCUGCAUUCUACAAGUUUUGAGAUGUUAUAUUUUUAUUUUCAUUUACUUCAAAGAAUUUUUCUAUAGUUUCUCUGAGACUACUUUUUUGACUCAUGCAUUAUUUAGAAGUGUGUUGUUUACUUUCUGAAUUUUGGGAGACUGUUAGAUUUAUUUCUAUUGGUGAUGUGUUCUGUGCCUGGGCUAAGUUGCUUCAGUUGUGUGAGCCCAUGGACUGCAGCCCGCCAGGCUCCUCUGUCCAUGGG